This 213-nucleotide small nucleolar RNA is filed under the name Erythranthe guttata (spotted monkey flower). RNAcentral describes it as "Mimulus guttatus (spotted monkey flower) Plant small nucleolar RNA U3". It matches the Rfam family "Plant small nucleolar RNA U3". Rfam says of the family: Small nucleolar RNAs (snoRNAs) are involved in the processing and modification of rRNA in the nucleolus. The record is from Rfam by way of RNAcentral. Lineage: Eukaryota; Viridiplantae; Streptophyta; Magnoliopsida; Lamiales; Phrymaceae.
ACGACCUUACUUGAACAGGAUCUGUUCUAUAGGCUCGUACCUCUGUAUCCUUGAUUUCUAAGGAGACAGGAAACCAUGUCUGGUGGAUGAAUCAUGGCUGCUCGACCAGAGCGUGAUUAACGGACUCACUGGCCUUGCCCAGUUGACUCAGUAGAGGAUCGUUCUCGGCUAGCUUCGGCUGGUUGAGGUGGUCGUGCAGCUGUCUGACAGACU